Molecule: long non-coding RNA, 8127 nt
Organism: Oncorhynchus tshawytscha (Chinook salmon)
Lineage: Eukaryota; Metazoa; Chordata; Actinopteri; Salmoniformes; Salmonidae
Exons: 4
Source: RefSeq, a predicted model, not a curated record
CUCCAUUGUGUAGGGAUUUGUACAAUGCUUGAACAAGGCUAUUCAAUUUGACAUUGGUGUCUGCCUUUAUCCAACAUAUCAUACUGAAACAUGGUAUCAGAAGUGGCUCGGAAAACACACGUUUGUUAUUUUUGUAGCUAAGUACAGUAUAGGCGCAGUUACGUUCCAUAUGCGAACACACUCCGUUUCCUACUCACAACACUGAUCAACUAGCUGGCUAGCUACCAUCACUACCUACCUCGAUGACUGAAGGCAAAGAAAUCUCCUAUUCUAUCGCUAUGGCAGCGAACAUAACGUCACCAAAUCCCAUGGUUCUCACAGGGGACUGGAAUACUAAUUGGGACAACUUCAGGGAUGAAAUCAAGGACUAUGCGCUGGCGACCGGUCUACAUGAGAAUCCCAACGAGGUACAAGCUGCAACUCUGAGAAGUUUAAUGGGCAGCAAAUGCAGGCAUAUCUACCGGCACAAUCUCACCCUCACAGCACGACAACAGUGUGAUGCAAAGGCUAUAUUGGGUGCAUUGGAGAAUUACUUCAAACCCGCCAGAAAAGUCAUUUACGAGCGGUUCGUUUUCGGAAGAUGCAAACAGGAAGAGGGUGAGUCAGUACACAACUUUGUAACCCGUUAGAGAGAGAAAUCCGCCACUUGUGAAUACGGGGGGUUGAAAGAUGAAUUGAUUCGUGACAAAAUAGUACUGGGAAUUGCAUAUGAGGAUACGCGCCGGCGUCUACUAAGAGAGAGAGGCUUAACAUUAGUAACUACCAUCGAAAUGUGCCGCACUGCUGAAGUCACUGACAUGAGAAUGAGAGCAAUGGAAAUCGAAACCCCACGCUCCGACGUUGAUACUGUUCAUGCUGUUGCUUGGCAGACAUUCAGACAAAACCAAUCGAGGCAGAGUAAUUCACCACAAACGGUGAACACAGAGAGCCCAGUAGCAUGUAAAUACUGUGGGAAUUACACACACAUGUGGCAAAGAGCACUGCCCUGCCUAUGGAAAACCAUGCAGAUCUUGUGGAACUAAUAAUCACUUUGCAAAAGUGUCUCAAAAGCAAAAGGAGGGUGUGUGAGGGCAAGAUUCACUGUGUUGAUGAUAUCACUCAAUGUUCAGAGCUGAACAGUGAAAGUGACAUUUACAUGCAUGAAUCCAUUGGGGCUGUACACUCAAGAGGGAAGAAAUGGUUUGUGACACUACGAUUACACAACAAGCAACAACAAUGUCAACUGGAUUCGGGUGCUACAUGCAACUUAAUGAGCUACAAAGACAAAAUCAAUCUGGCACCUGACACCUAUUGCCCAGCGAUACUAGACUAAAGCUGUACUCAGGAGAGCUAAUGAGCUCUAUGGGCACCUUUGAGACCAAAUUUGUUAUUCGGGGAUGCAAACACAAGCUGGAGUUUGAGAUUGUGAAAACCAGUCAACAUCCUCUCCUCUCAGGCUCUCCAUGCGAACGCCUGUGACUGAUGCAGUUCACUGUACCAAAUGACCUGCACAUUGUGGAUCAUGUCCAGCAUGGACCCCUGUCCAAAGAACAACCACUCAGCAGAUAUGACGAUGUAUUGAACAUGCCCGUUGAAUCUGUGCCUGGGGAAGUACACUUUGAAGUGGAUGAGAGCAUCACUCCAGUCCAGUGUGCUCCUCACAAUGUGCCCAUUGCAAAUGAAAGUGGCUGUGAAGGCCCGGCUGGACAAGUAUGAGGCCGAUGGCCACAUGACAUCUGUGACUGAACCAACUGUCUGGAUCAGCAAUAUGGUCAUAGUGAAAAAAACAGAGAAGCUGAGGGUCUGCAUCGACCCAAAGCAUCUGAACCAAGCACUGAAACGAUCCCACUACAUCAUGCCGACACUAGAGGAUAUCCUCUAAAAGUUUCCCAAGGCCAGGAUUUUCACCUUGGUGGAUGCCCAAGAUGCAUUCCUUUCAAUGCAAGCUGGACAAAGAAAGCAGCUUCAUGACUACCUUCUGGACCCCCUGGGGUCGGAAACGCUGGCUCAAGCUCCCGUUUGGUGUCUCAGUGGUGUCUGAGAUACGCAAACAGCACGAGUUACUGGCUGGGCUCAAGGGCAUUGAACCCAUCGCCGAUGAUGUCCUGGUCGUAGGCUGUGGUGACACAGACGAAGAAGCAGAACGCGACCACGAUGUGAAGCUCGUGGCACUGAUGGAGCGCUCCCGAUCAGUUAAGCUUCAUCUUGGCCUGAAGAAGCUGCAGUUCAAGGAGAAAGACGUCCACUUCCAUGGCCACAUUCUCUCUGCAAAAGGCCUGAAGCCGAACCCAGACAAGGUCAGAGCGAUCCUCGACAUGCCAAACCCGUCUGAUGCAAAAGGAGUAAAAGUUCAUGCCAAACCUAUCAGCAGUCUGUGAGCCUCUGCGCCGGUUGCUGGACAAAGACACACCAUGGCACCGGCUACCCAAGCACAAGGCUGCAGUGCAGGAGAUGAAAUCUCUGGCUUCAUCCAUGCCAGUGUUGUGCUACUACGACGUCAUGAAGCCUGUCACAAUCCAGAGCGACUCCAGCCAAAGGGGACUUGGAUGCUGCCUUAUGCAGGAAGGCCAGCCCAUUGCGUAUGCCUCGAGAGCGCUCACCCCCACCGAACAAAACUAUGCACAAAUUGAGAAAGAGUGCCUCAGCAUCGUCUUCUCCUGCCAGCGAUUCCAUCACUAGUUAUAUGAGCGAGAGCUGGUCACCGCUGAAACUGACCACAAACCACUCAUUUCCAUAUUCAGUAAACCUCUGCUCAACGCGCCCAAGAGGCUUCAAAGCAUGCUCCUGACUCCUGACGGUCAUUUACAAGCCAGGACCAGAGAUGUACAUCAGCGACACACUGAGGAGGGCAACAACACAAUGUACAGGCAAGAGGCACUUUUUAUCAGUGGCAGGCCAUCUGUUUUCUACAGCAGGAACAACAAGAUGUUCAACAGAUCAAUUAGGCAGAAUACUUAAACGUCACAGAUCACUGCCUAGCCCAGAUCAGGCAACACACUGACAAGGACGAACACCUACAGUCACUGAAGUCCAUGGCUCUCGCAGAUUGGCCAUACCUGAAAAAGGAGACACCUUUCACAGUGAGAGAAUACUGGACCUUUCGAGAUGAGAUCAGCAUGCAAAAUGGUGUCUUGUUCAGAGGUCAGAAGGUCAUUAUUCCCAAAUCACGACGUCCAGAGAUGCUUACCUGCAUACACUCCAGUCACGUUGGAGGUGACGCAUGCUACCGCCAGGCUCGUGAAACAUUAUACUGGCCAGACAUGCAAGCAGAAAUUAAAGACUUUGUCAGCAACUGUACCACAUGCAACGAGUACGCUCAUGAACAGCAAAAGGAAACCAUGAUGUCACACGAACUGCCCACAAGGGCCUGGCAAAUCGUCAGCAUUGGACUUAUUCAGCCACGGACAAAAGGACUAUCUUCUCAUGGUUGAUCACUACUCUGACUUUUGGGAAAUUGAACUGCUCCCUGACUGCAAGGCAAGGUCAGCCUGACAAGGUAAUCACGGACAAUGGCCCACAAUUCACUGCACAGUUCAAGCUUUUCGCUUCAGAAUGGGAGUUUGACCACGUGACCUCCUCUCCAAGACACCCAAAAGCAAAUGGCAAGGCAGAAUCAGCUGUCAAGAUUGCAAAAAACCUGUUAAGCAGGGCCUUGCGCGACACCAACGACCCAUGGAAAGCGAUCUUACAGUGGAGGAACACACCCCCUGAAACCAUGGACAGUAGCCCAGCACAACGCCUUCUGUCCAGACGUCUGAAGACUACCAUCCCAAUAGCUAACAAGCUACUUGAGCACUGAGUCAUGGCUGGUGUCACGGACAAACUGUGUCACAGAAAGCAGCUCGCUAAGUGCUUCUAAGACCGGACUGCUCGAGACCUACCAGAGCUGGAGGUGGGUGAAACGAUAAGGAUGAAACCGCUGCCGGGAGACCACACAGGACUUUGGAGGCUGGGCACAUGCCUGCAGAGAGUUGCACCACGUUAUUACCUGGUGGAUGUUGGUGGCUGCCUCUAUCGUCGCAAUCGGGUGGAUCUGCGCGUAGCAGAGCAGACAAACCAGAACACGCCAUACACUCACCUAGAUGAGCUGGAUCACAGUCCAGGCCUAAGGGUAAGGGGCGCAGAAUUGAGACAUGAGCCAACUGAAGGUGAGGCUUCUACCCCACCAAGCUCUCCAGCUCGUGGCCCUAAUCCUACCCCUGUCAGUGCAAAUACUUACUCACAGGUUGGUUGUGCAAGCCACCGGACAGGCUUACUCUGUAAGCAAGAGACUGUUAACUUGCCCUCGGUUAAUUAAAAUAUAUAUUUUUUUAUUAAAUAAUAAACUAAAAUUAAAAAAGGCAGAUGACAACUGAAGUAAAAAGAAAAUGUCAUGCUUUUUCUAUUGUUAUGACCUGACUGUUAAGAACUCAAUGUAAUGCCUUUAUGUUUGCACUUUCUAUUGAAAAGGAUGAUGUUACGGAGUCUAGUGGAUAGGUAUUCGACUAGCCGGACUGUUCCCCGGACUCCAUGUGUAGGGAUUUGUACAAUGCACAAACAAGGCUAUUGAACUUGACAUUGGUGUCUGUCUUUAUUCCUUUAUCCAACAUAUCAUACUGAAACAGCAUGUUGCCAAACCAUAUAGCCAAGUAUCAUAUGAGUAACAAUUAGCUAACUCCUUUCAUUAGUCUAAUAAUGUGCAACCACCUCUGUACAAUAACAAAGCAUAUUACACUAGAAACAGUUACAAAACUACAGUAUUGCAUGUUUUACAAUUCAUUUACAUGAGGCACGAGCAAAGUAAUACAGCUGAUGGCACACAUGAAAGGCAAGGCAACCAACUAACAUUGAUAACUAAAGCAAUUCUAUCAAUAACAAGAUUAUCAUCACUAGCAAUAUGCUUGAAUCGAAUUUACAAACAAAUAUUUUCCGAGGCUGAUGCGUGGCAAGAAAUAACUGCAGCGUAGCAUUGUUUUUAGCUGCUUCUCUGUGUGUCUUUUCCUGUUUCCUUACAGUCUUUCUAAGUACCAGAAAGCUCCACUAGGGGGGGGCGAUAAAACACCAUGGAACACAAAGGAAAUCCAUAUUAACCACGGAGUCACUCCCUGUAAUCCUGGCCCACUGCGCUGCUCCUGUGUUAAUGGGAGUACUUUGUGCAACCACACAGUUGCACUGCUCAACCAGACAGCAAACGACUCUCAAUUUGGGAUUGGUGCAGUUUCCCCAUCUAUAGUUGCACUGAGAGUGAGCAGAGGUGGCACAUGCCAAGAACAAUGGGGUUGAAGCCAGGCCCUCCUAACAGGAGGGUGUUCCUGUCAGCAAGACCCAAAGAGAAGAGACUGGUUGAGGGAGUGAGGAGUACUUUCUAUAGAGGUGUCACCAGGGGUGCUGCCUGUCCUCUAAGUGGCAGAGGUGUACAGGAACUUUGCCAAUGCUACAGCCCCUUUGGUCACUACAAUGGACAUGUCCACUGAGGUCCCAUUAGUGGAUUCUGGCAUUGGUGAAGUCCAGGCAGGGAGCAUCCUGGCAUACCAGCAGCCUGCUACAACAACUCGCAACAGCGUGAAGAUGCCCCCCCUCCAUCUCUGCCACUUGAUGGUUACAGUCUUGGCCCAUCUGUGUGCAUAUUUGUCCAUAGUGAGCAUGAACUCCUACACAUGAGCUCACUGGCAAUUACAUUGGAAACGGCCCACAAGGUCGAGAGUGCUAUGAGAGUGCAUAGCUUAUCGCUGGAGGGGCAUCACCUUCACAAGCCACGCAUAACCUCCUCCGGCUUCAAAGAGGUCUGCCAUGUGAGGGGGCAGAGUUCUGCAGAACACCUGGUUGACAGAGUCCUCAGGGGAACUCGUCAGUCUGCAGAGAUGAAGAGAGGUCUGUAGAUGGUGUUUGCCAUUGUGGAGGAAUACUGUGUUCUCCAGAAUGUCAACAGUUACCGCUGUGCAUUUCUUAUCUACCCAGAUGCCCCUUGGCUUUGGGUAUUUCCUGAUGGACCCCACAGAGAGUCCAUCAUUUGGCCUUCUGGAGAUAAAGUGCCCAAAUGUCAAGAGCUACGUGGACUGCCCUUACCUAAAGACCCAGAAUGGUGCAACAGCACUGAAACACCAGCAUGCAUACUACUAGCAGCUACAAGGUCAGAUGCUGAUCUCAGGGUUGGAGUGGUGUGACUUUGUGGUAUAUGCCCUGGAGGACAUGCUGAUACAGCACAUCCACAGACUGCCAAGUUUGGGAAGCAAUCAGAGAGAAAGCUGGCCAUUUUUUUUAUUACUCUCCUUGGUAAAAUGUACACUUUUUUCCAGAGAUGACUUGUUGAAAUAUCAAUUAUAAAUAACCAUAGUCUUGUUUUUUCAUUCUGACAAAUAUUAAUUUUAAAAUAUAUAUUUUUAAACUUUUGUACAUCUUCCCUUUAUCUGUGAUUAUUUCUAGCAUAUAUUAUUUCCUAAUGUUAUGAGGUAUAAGGCAUUAUAUUAUGAAAGAUAACCACUUUUUUGUGCUAACUGUUUUAUCCCCCCGAAUCCAACAAAUGUAUUAUAUUGAUGUCAAAUGUUUUGGGUUUGUUAGUGAAAACACUGGCCAAAAUAGUAGAGUGCCGGCCUGUAGACCUGCAACACUGAACAUAAGCAGAAGCAGAGAAAAAAACAGGCCAAUCCAGUUACCAGUCUAAUCGUAUUGAAAUUGACAUCAUCACUAGUCCUUUGCCCAAGCGGCCCAUUCUGGUAGUUGAUGAGGAGGCAGGCAACGGUGUAGAGCUGGUUGAUCCCAGUGAAGGAGAGAGGUAUGAGGGUCAAACAGCUUAUGAUCUUUCGUUCUGCUAAUCAGCCGCUCCACAUGGACCCUCAGCCGAGUGGUGGAUUGCAUCUCCCUGACUUCUGCUGCUGGCAUCUGUAAUCUCUUUAAGAGAAAAGUCGGUCUGUAUACCUUGCAGGGCACACAGUCGUCCACAAGGAAACCUUUGUCCACCAUAAUGGUUAUCCCUGGAUUCAGCGGAGACACGAUGCCGGACGGCUUCAGGAUCUCCUUAAUACGGCGGCAGCAUAAAGGGCUGAAACAAAGGUGAUUGCAUCAUGUGGUGCCAUGCCAAUCAUCAAUUCGAAGGUGCAGUGGGACAGCGCAACUCUGUGCAGUCUACCACCACUUGUGUGUCUGGGUAUUCCUUGAAUUCCUCUGGCAAGUGAGUGCUUAACUGCUUCCUUGGACAUUCAGAUACUUUGAUAAUUAACAUUACUUUAAUUUACCGUUGUAAUUCCUGGUAGUGUGACCUCCUCAUUCCUCUUUGCAGCUGCCCUCGCUCUGGUCACACGUACCAUGUUGUGGGAUGCCGGUUCGAUGAGCUUCCAGAAGGCCAUUAGGUGGGCAUAUGUGGCAAGCUUAUGUCAGAAAUUAGAAAUGUUAUGAUGAAUGAUGAGAGAAGAUGUAUUUAUAGCAAUCCUAGGUACUAUUCACUGCCUCCAGUAUAGAAGACAAGAUGUACAAGCAUGUACACUUAGGCAUGAUGAGAAAAUAAAAUAUUUUUAUUACCUGAGAGCAAAGCUCUAGAAAGAACGUGUAACUUCUAAGCCUGCAAUAAAGAUCAAGGCACUCCUUUUGUGCAAAAAAUUAAUAAAAAGCCUUUAUUUAGGUUGAUUUUGACUUACUUUGUUGCAUGCUUAUUGUUACAAAACGUUUCUACUCAAGCCACAACAUAGUUUUUGCUCUCAGUCGAUUUAGACAAUGCGCAUCCUUUUGAUACCAUAUAUUGUUAUUUUUAUUGAAGUAAAGCAGCACUCUUUAUCCUCUCUUCUCUAUAUUAUUAUUACCGUUAUUAUGACCUACCUUGUGUAGAUCCAACCGUAUGUCGUGUUGGAUGCAGCAAAUCGCUCCAAACAGAAUUGGUGAUGGACAGACGUUUCCUCCAACUGUCUCCCCAGUUGCUCUACCUCCUUAUACGAAAAAAGAUUGCAGUCAGAGUGCAGUAUAACUGCAGUUAGAGUCAAGUAUAACUGCAGUAUGCUGCUAAUACUGCAUCCAAUUUACAGUUUUUUUAGGCAGUAAUUUUGCAGUGUAAUUGAAGUUCAACUGUAGUACACUGCAGAUAUUAUUCAUUUACUGCAUCCAAACCAAAUUGGUUGCUCUCUCCUUAGUCCUACACCGGAUCUUUCCCUUAUGAAAAAAGAUCGCAGCCAGAGUGCAAAU